Molecule: non-coding RNA, 96 nt
Filed under: Ralstonia sp.
Lineage: Bacteria; Pseudomonadati; Pseudomonadota; Betaproteobacteria; Burkholderiales; Burkholderiaceae
Description: TPP sequence
Rfam family: TPP riboswitch aptamer (THI element)
About the family: Vitamin B(1) in its active form thiamin pyrophosphate (TPP) is an essential coenzyme that is synthesised by coupling of pyrimidine and thiazole moieties in bacteria. The previously detected thiamin-regulatory element, thi box was extended, resulting in a new, highly conserved RNA secondary structure, the THI element, which is widely distributed in eubacteria and also occurs in some archaea. Analysis of operon structures identified a large number of new candidate thiamin-regulated genes, mostly transporters, in various prokaryotic organisms.
Source: RNAcentral
CUUCCAGGCUAGGGGUCCUGCGCAUGGCGCGGGUGAGAAAAACCCUUCGAACCUGAUCUCGAUAAUGCGAGCGCAGGGAAGCUGGAACAGUAUGGC